Molecule: ribosomal RNA, 433 nt
Filed under: uncultured bacterium
Lineage: Bacteria
Description: partial 16S ribosomal RNA
Rfam family: Bacterial small subunit ribosomal RNA
Source: RNAcentral
AACGAACGCUGGCGGCAGGCCUAACACAUGCAAGUCGAGCGAGGACUUCGGUCCUAGCGGCGGACGGGUGAGUAACGCGUGGGAACGUGCCCUUUGCUUCGGAAUAGCCCUGGGAAACUGGGAGUAAUACCGGAUGAGCCCUUUGGGGGAAAGAUUUAUCGGCGAAGGAUCGGCCCGCGUUGGAUUAGGUAGUUGGUGGGGUAAUGGCCUACCAAGCCGACGAUCCAUAGCUGGUUUGAGAGGAUGAUCAGCCACACUGGGACUGAGACACGGCCCAGACUCCUACGGGAGGUAGCAGUGGGGAAUCUUAGACAAUGGGGGAAACCCUGAUCUAGCCAUGCCGCGUGAGCGAUGAAGGCCUUAGGGUUGUAAAGCUCUUUCAGCUGGGAAGAUAAUGACGGUACCAGCAGAAGAAGCCCCGGCUAACUCCGUG